Molecule: long non-coding RNA, 680 nt
Organism: Mesoplodon densirostris (Blainville's beaked whale)
Lineage: Eukaryota; Metazoa; Chordata; Mammalia; Artiodactyla; Ziphiidae
Exons: 3
Source: RefSeq, a predicted model, not a curated record
AGAUGGCUGCGCAGGCCCGGGUCCGGGCGCGGCGAUGCACCCGGACUUGCACCGCCUGGUUUCUGCAGUCUGCGCUCGCAGGCUCGGGGAGGCGCGCUCCCAAGACUGAAAGUGUGCCACGUGGGGAACUGGACCAGAGCGUUCAGAUGCUUGUCCAAGAUGGCAUAAUCAGUGAGUCCUGAGCCAGAUUUGAGCCAGGCCCGUCUGCUUCCUAAGCCUGGCCUUUCCUCUAAGUCACAGCAAAUCCAUGAGGUUUCUGGUAACUGACUAUACUGUGGAACUGAAGGAAUAAGCAUUUUCAGAACUCUAAUGGAAACCUGAUGAAUUCAUAAACGUGCCUUACAAAACAUUAAGAAGAAAAAGAAAUUAAUUACAUGGGAAUGAGUGAACUGAUGAUUAUAAUUUUUGUGACUUUGUGUUUGAAUAAAAAAAAAUCCCACAAGAACUCAGAGGCAAAAAAUAUACAAGUUAAUUUUCACUGCAAAGUAAAGGAGCUGUUACAGUGAAAGAUUACUGGACUGAAUGUCACUAUUAUGACAUAAUAUGAGUGUGUUUCGUGUUUGGUAAUUGCAAUCAUUUUUGCUUUUCUUGUGGUCAUCCAUUUACAAUGCUUUGUGUCCUUUAUCUCUUGUAAAAAUAAAAUACAGUGUGUGUGUGUGAAAUAAACGUAUUGAAAACAA